CGUCAGUCUUUGUCCAGGGGGCCGCCUUCGCCACCGGUAUUCCUCCAGAUCUCUACGCAUUUCACCGCUACACCUGGAAUUCUACCCCCCUCUACAAGACUCAAGCUUGCCAGUUUCAAAUGCAGUUCCCAGGUUGAGCCCGGGGAUUUCACAUCUGACUUAACAAACCGCCUGCGUGCGCUUUACGCCCAGUAAUUCCGAUUAACGCUUGCACCCUCCGUAUUACCGCGGCUGCUGGCACGGAGUUAGCCGGUGCUUCUUCUGCGAGUAACGUCAAUCGCUAAGGUUAUUAACCUUAACGCCUUCCUCCUCGCUGAAAGUACUUUACAACCCGAAGGCCUUCUUCAUACACGCGGCAUGGCUGCAUCAGGCUUGCGCCCAUUGUGCAAUAUUCCCCACUGCUGCCUCCCGUAGGAGUCUGGACCGUGUCUCAGUUCCAGUGUGGCUGGUCAUCCUCUCAGACCAGCUAGGGAUCGUCGCCUAGGUGAGCCAUUACCCCACCUACUAGCUAAUCCCAUCUGGGCACAUCUGAUGGCAUGAGGCCCGAAGGUCCCCCACUUUGGUCUUGCGACGUUAUGCGGUAUUAGCUACCGUUUCCAGUAGUUAUCCCCCUCCAUCAGGCAGUUUCCCAGACAUUACUCACCCGUCCGCCGCUCGUCACCCG
This 664-nucleotide ribosomal RNA is filed under the name Klebsiella planticola. RNAcentral's name for it is "Raoultella planticola partial 16S rRNA". The record is from RNAcentral. Lineage: Bacteria; Pseudomonadati; Pseudomonadota; Gammaproteobacteria; Enterobacterales; Enterobacteriaceae.